This is a long non-coding RNA of Homo sapiens (human), 1407 nucleotides long. Ensembl annotates it as CCDC26 long non-coding RNA. Its record names the gene CCDC26. The record is from Ensembl. NCBI's taxonomy places the organism in Eukaryota, Metazoa, Chordata, Mammalia, Primates, Hominidae.
GCUACAGUGCUACUGGCCCAUAAUCAGGCAACUGCAGAGUCUUAGGGGGUUAUCUAAUGUAGUCUUGGGGUGGCUGGAUAGACUUCCCAAAGAAGGUGAUGCCGAAGCUGAGGUCGGAAAUUACGAAGAUCAGCUAUCAAACUUGGAAAUCAUGUCUUAGAGAUCAAGGAGCCAAGAGAUGAGACAAGCCUGGGUUCCUAGGUGAUAGGGUGUGGCUGUGUCCCCACCCAAAUCUCGUCUUGAAUUGUAGCUCCCAUAAUCCCCACAUGUUGUGGAGGGACCCUGUGGAAGAUUGUGCCUGCAGCCUGGCCUGUUGCCCACAGCGGUCUACCUGCCACACUGGGAAAGAUCGAGCAGAGACAGAGAAGAAAAGGAGGCUCCAUUUUUCAGGCUGCUCUCCCGCAGGCUCAUGUUUUGUGUUCAUGCCAGGCAGAGAACACAAAAUGUUCCAAUAAAUAAGUAUCAAAGGAUAAGUCAAUUGAGCUUCACUUCUCUAAUUGAAAUCACCGUGCUGAUGGAGUCUGUCUGUGGAAAUGAAAGGUGGCUACCAUAAUCUGUUGGGAGUUGAAUUAAUCCUCUGGGAGUGAGGCUGACCUAAUUACUCAGAAAUACUGGGCUUGCUUUCAUUCUGUGGAAUACAGCCAUGAGAAAGAGGCCAGCAUGCCAUUUCCUAAUCUUUUCUUGAAUUGCCUGAAACUCACCUAACAUGAAACUGAGAAGCCUUUUCAUUUGAAAGUGGUAUUUCUUAUGUUUUUUAUCUUUUUGCUUGAAAGUAUUCUUAAACUAAAGAAAGGAGAAACAGAAAAGGUGAAGAAGCCAAGAGGCUGGAGUUUCCUUUUGAAUGGAUAUUCAUCCAUGAAGCUGUUGAUUCUGUUUUUCUGUUCCUCCAGAUGUCUACACUUUUACCUCUGCUUGCCUGAUACAACCACCACCAGUCACCUCACAGAAUAACUCACUCCUUAAGAAUCUGAUCAGGAAUCAGCCUUCCCUGAUCACAAACACUGAGUUUAGAAGUCCCUCCACAGUGUCCCCCGUAACCCUGUGCUACCUCACUGCCUCAUAGUUUAGUGCCGUUUGUGUACAUGCCUAUCUUCGUCCAUGGAUCCAGAACAACUUGUAAAAAUGACUGUACUUAUCACCUUCAGUAUUCAAUGACUAAACUAUAAUUUUAACAUAUCUGGCAGAAUGAAUCACUUGGGGAUUUCUGCCAACACUACCAAUAUAUUACUCCUAAUUUGUAAUUAUUACUUAGCAUGGAUUAUAGUACCGGCUGUUGGAGAGCCAAUGUGGCAGACCCUAAGUGGAAUAAAAUGUCAGUAGCAGUCUAGGAGCAUAUAUUUAUUGGAAUAGAUCAUUCAUUCAUUUGUUCAUUAACUAAUUUGUUCAUUAAAUAAACAUUUAUUAAGC